UCUAUCUAUCUAUCUAUCUAUCUAUCUAUCUAUCUAUCUAUCUAUCUAUCCAUCCAUCCAUCCAUCCAUCCAUCCAUCCAUCCAUCCAUCCAUCCAUCCAUCUAUCUAUCUAUCUAUCUAUCUAUCUAUCUAUCUAUCUAUCUACCAGAGGAUUCGUUGGAAUGACUUACAGGCUAUAUUUCAGUAAAUCCAACAAUCUCUGGCUAUGAGCAGAAGGGCUAAGAAUCUAUUAGUAGCUCAGUCCACGAGGCUGGAUGUCUCAGCUGGUCUUUAGUAUACAUUGGAAUCCCAAAGAAGUAUGCUGUCGUGCCAGUGAAGGCAUGAGGGCAAGCAGGCAAUGAGUGAUGUUUCCUCCUUCCACGUCUGUAUAUAGGCUGCCAGCAGAAGGUGUGGCCCAGAUGAAAGGUGGAUCUUCACAUCUCAAAGAUCUAGGUUAGAAGUGGAUCUUCUUACUUCAAAUCAAGCAAGAUUCCCUUACAGAUCCUGUCCUUCGGCUUUUAUGUCCUUCCUGCUCCAUCUUCUGGAACGUUCCCUGAACCUCAGAGGAGAUGAUGUAGAUGCCUCAUUUACAGCCAAGAACUGGGAUAGUUCUUCUCAGAACUUUGUUCGGAAAAGGCUCAGCAUGCUUUACAGCAGAUCCAGUGUGAGCGCCAGACAGCCGAAGUUUACUCGUGUACAGGUGCAAUGCUGUGUACCGUGGGAGUAUGGGGUAUUGGCCUUUACUGAGCAGGGCAACACAACGAGGAAGCCAUUGUUGAUUGAAUCGGAACAGUGUUCUUGGAGGUCCAGAUUUUAAAAGAGUAACAAAAGGCAUGUGUACCAGCUAGGAUGCCUCCAGGAACAAUCAAAAGGAAACUCAUUUCAGAGUGCUCAAAGCUCCAGAAAGUUUAUUGGCUCAUAUAAUCGAAAGUCCAGAACGUUAGCAAUCCCGUGGCGCUGGCAGCUUCACUUCGCUCAUUUCUUGGCUGUAUUCAUCUAAUGGCACCAUUCCUGAAGAGACUAGUUUAGAUUUGAGUGAUUCUCCAUCAAAUUGUUGCUUCUAACCUUCUUAUGAUGAGCCCCCAGGAAACUUUCAGCUGAGUAGUGGAUGACACGACGUCUUUAAGGAGUGCAUUCUCUGGCUCAAUUUUGUCUAUGGAGGUCAAGGAGGUUAGUAAAAAAUGACGCCCUCACAUUUUAUUUAAUAUGUGUUGCUGGAAAAAAGAGACUAGGUCAAAUUAUCUGUGAACGAAAGGCCGCAGAGUGCAUGUACCUGUUGACCUGCUUCGCUGGAGUCAAAUCUGGAAGGAAGGUAAUCAUUACCAAUUUGGCCAUCAGUAGCAGUAGUACUAACCUUGUUAAAUUGAGAUAAUCAUAACUGGUCCGUAUCUAU
This is a non-coding RNA of Rattus norvegicus (Norway rat), 1372 nucleotides long. Lineage: Eukaryota; Metazoa; Chordata; Mammalia; Rodentia; Muridae. The record is from RefSeq and is a predicted model, not a curated record.